Molecule: transfer RNA, 72 nt
Filed under: Phrynosoma platyrhinos (Desert horned lizard)
Lineage: Eukaryota; Metazoa; Chordata; Lepidosauria; Squamata; Phrynosomatidae
Description: tRNA-OTHER
Source: RNAcentral
GCCAGCAUGGCAUUGCGGUUCGAGUGUUGGACUAGAACUCUGGAGACCGGGGUUCAAUUCCCAGCUCUGCCA